Molecule: ribosomal RNA, 253 nt
Filed under: uncultured bacterium
Lineage: Bacteria
Description: partial 16S ribosomal RNA
Rfam family: Bacterial small subunit ribosomal RNA
Source: RNAcentral
UACGUAGGGGGCUAGCGUUGCUCGGAAUCACUGGGCGUAAAGCGCACGUAGGCGGAUCUUUAAGUCAGGGGUGAAAUCCCAAGGCUCAACCUUGGAACUGCCUUUGAUACUGGGGAUCUCGAGUCCGGAAGAGGUUGGUGGAACUCCGAGUGUAGAGGUGAAAUUCGUAGAUAUUCGGAAGAACACCAGUGGCGAAGGCGGCCAACUGGUCCGGCACUGACGCUGAGGUGCGAAAGCGUGGGGGGCAAACAGG